CCUACGGGGUGCAGCAGUAGGGAAUCUUUCACAAUGGGCGAAAGCCUGAUGGAGCAACGCCGCGUGCAGGAUGAAGGCCUUCGGGUUGUAAACUGCUUUUAUAAGCGAGAAAUAUGAUGGUAACUUAUGAAUAAGGAUCGGCUAACUACGUGCCAGCAGCCGCGGUCAUACGUAGGAUCCGAGCAUUAUCCGGAGUGACUGGGUGUAAAGAGUUGCGUAGGUGGCAUAAUAAGUAGCUAGUGAAAUCUGGUGGCUCAACCAUUCAGACUAUUAGCUAAACUGUUAAGCUCGAGACCGUUAGGGGUAACUGGAAUUUCUAGUGUAGGAGUGAAAUGCGUAGAUAUUAGAAGGAACACCAAUAGCGUAGGCAGGUUACUGGGACGGUUCUGACACUAAGGCACGAAAGCGUAGGGAGCAAACGGGAUUAGAUACCCGAGUAGUC
This 442-nucleotide ribosomal RNA is filed under the name uncultured bacterium. Its description in RNAcentral is "partial 16S ribosomal RNA". It matches the Rfam family "Bacterial small subunit ribosomal RNA", at positions 338 to 795 of the family's 1533-position model. The record is from RNAcentral.